UUCCGGUUGAUCCUGCCGGACCUGACUGCUAUCGGAUUGAUACUAAGCCAUGCGAGUCAUUGUAGCAAUACAAGGCAGACGGCUCAGUAACGCGUAGUCAACCUACCCUAUGGACGGGAAUAACCUCGGGAAACUGAGUAUAAUGCCCGAUAGAACACUAUACCUGGAACGGUUUGUGUUUCAAAUGAUUUAUUGCCGUAGGAUGGGACUGCGGCCUAUCAGUUUGUUGGUGAGGUAAUGGCCCACCAAGACUAUUACAGGUACGGGCUCUGAGAGGAGUGGCCCGGAGAUGGGUACUGAGACACGGACCCAGGCCCUAUGGGGCGCAGCAGGCGAGAAAACUUUGCAAUGUGCGAAAGCACGACAAGGUUAAUCCGAGUGGUUUCUGCUAAAGGAACCUUUUGACAGUCCUAGAAACACUGUUGAAUAAGGGGUGGGCAAGUUCUGGUGUCAGCCGCCGCGGUAAAACCAGCACCUCAAGUGGUCAGGAUGAUUAUUGGGCCUAAAGCAUCCGUAGCCGGCUCAGUAAGUUUUCGGUUAAAUCUGUACGCUCAACGUACAGGCUGCCGGGAAUACUGCAGAGCUAGGGAGUGGGAGAGGUAGACGGUACUCGGGAGGAAGUGGUAAAAUGCUUUGAUCUUUCGAUGACCACCUGUGGCGAAGGCGGUCUACCAGAACACGUCCGACGGUGAGGGAUGAAAGCUGGGGGAGCAAACCGGAUUAGAUACCCGGGUAGUCCCAGCUGUAAACUAUGCAAACUCAGUGAUGCAUUGGCUUGUGGCCAAUGCAGUGUUGCAGGGAAGCCGUUAAGUUUGCCGCCUGGGAAGUACGUACGCAAGUAUGAAACUUAAAGGAAUUGGCGGGGGAGCACCACAAGGGGUGAAGCCUGCGGUUCAAUUGGAGUCAACGCCGGA
This 914-nucleotide ribosomal RNA is filed under the name uncultured archaeon. RNAcentral's name for it is "bacterial SSU rRNA". It matches the Rfam family "Archaeal small subunit ribosomal RNA", at positions 1 to 922 of the family's 1478-position model. The record is from RNAcentral.